RNAcentral lists this ribosomal RNA (616 nucleotides) under uncultured bacterium. RNAcentral's name for it is "bacterial SSU rRNA". It matches the Rfam family "Bacterial small subunit ribosomal RNA", at positions 338 to 948 of the family's 1533-position model. The record is from RNAcentral.
CCUACGGGAGGCAGCAGUGGGGAAUUUUGGACAAUGGGCGCAAGCCUGAUCCAGCAAUGCCGCGUGCAGGAUGAAGGCCUUCGGGUUGUAAACUGCUUUUGUACGGAACGAAAAAGUCUGCCCUAAUACGGUGGGCCCAUGACGGUACCGUAAGAAUAAGCACCGGCUAACUACGUGCCAGCAGCCGCGGUAAUACGUAGGGUGCGAGCGUUAAUCGGAAUUACUGGGCGUAAAGCGUGCGCAGGCGGUUAUAUAAGACAGAUGUGAAAUCCCCGGGCUCAACCUGGGACCUGCAUUUGUGACUGUAUAGCUAGAGUACGGUAGAGGGGGAUGGAAUUCCGCGUGUAGCAGUGAAAUGCGUAGAUAUGCGGAGGAACACCGAUGGCGAAGGCAAUCCCCUGGACCUGUACUGACGCUCAUGCACGAAAGCGUGGGGAGCAAACAGGAUUAGAUACCCUGGUAGUCCACGCCCUAAACGAUGUCAACUGGUUGUUGGGUCUUCACUGACUCAGUACGAAGCUAACGCGUGAAGUUGACCGCCUGGGGAGUACGCCGCAAGGUUGAAACUUAAAGGAAUUGACCGGNNGNGAGNGCGAGACGACGACGAGGGAGGAGG